This 498-nucleotide unclassified non-coding RNA is filed under the name uncultured Glomus. RNAcentral's name for it is "SSU rRNA". It matches the Rfam family "Eukaryotic small subunit ribosomal RNA", at positions 569 to 1073 of the family's 1831-position model. Lineage: Eukaryota; Fungi; Glomeromycota; Glomeromycetes; Glomerales; Glomeraceae. The record is from RNAcentral.
AGCAGCCGCGGUAAUUCCAGCUCCAAUAGCGUAUAUUAAAGUUGCUGCAGUUAAAAGCUCGUAGUUGAAUUUCGGGACCAUCAUGUCGGUCGUGCCUCGGUACGUACUGGCAUUGUUGGUUUCUACCUUCUGACGAACCAUGAUGUCAUUUAUUUGGUGUCGUGGGAAAUCAGGACUGUUACUUUGAAAAAUUAGAGUGUUUAAAGCAGGCUCACGCUUGAAUACAUUAGCAUGGAAUAAUGAAAUAGGACGUUUGAUUCUAUUUUGUUGGUUUUCUAGGAUCGACGUAAUGAUUAAUAGGGAUAGUUGGGGGCAUUAGUAUUCAAUUGUCAGAGGUGAAAUUCUUGGAUUUAUUGAAGACUAACUACUGCGAAAGCAUUUGCCAAGGAUGUUUUCAUUAAUCAAGAACGAAAGUUAGGGGAUCGAAGACGAUCAGAUACCGUCGUAGUCUUAACCAUAAACUAUGCCGACUAGGGAUCGGAUGAUGUUAAUUUUUAU